GUAGGUGGCAAGCGUUGUCCGGAAUUAUUGGGGCGUAAAGCGCGCGCAGGCGGUUCUUUAAGUCUGAUGUGAAAGCCCACGGGCUCAACCGUGGAGGGUCAUUGGAAACUGGAGAACUUGAGUACAGAAGAGGAAAGCGGAAUUCCACGUGUAGCGGUGAAAUGCGUAGAGAUGUGGAGGAACACCAGUGGCGGAGGCGGCUUUCUGGUCUGUAACUGACGCUGAGGCGCGAAAGCGUGGGGAGCAAACAGGAUUAGAUACCCUGGCAGUCCACGCCGUAAACGAUGAGUGCCAAGUGUUAGGGGGUUUCCGCCCCUUAGUGCUGCAGCUAACGCAUUAAGCACUCCGCCUGGGGAGUACGGCCGCAAAGGCUG
RNAcentral lists this ribosomal RNA (374 nucleotides) under uncultured organism. Its description in RNAcentral is "partial 16S ribosomal RNA". It matches the Rfam family "Bacterial small subunit ribosomal RNA", at positions 527 to 896 of the family's 1533-position model. The record is from RNAcentral.